Zea mays is the source of this 3525-nucleotide non-coding RNA. The record is from RefSeq and is a predicted model, not a curated record. Lineage: Eukaryota; Viridiplantae; Streptophyta; Magnoliopsida; Poales; Poaceae.
GCCGGCGCCAUCUCGCAGCCGCCGAGCACGGCGGCAGCAGAGUCCACGUUGGUGAGGAGGUACUCGUAGAUCUUCUUCCUGAGCCUCUCUAUCGUCUCCUCCGGCACGCCGCUGGCCGCGCCGCCGUUGGCAGUGGGUGCCGCCGCUUCGCCGUCCGCUUCCGGUGGCGGAUGCGGCGCCAUCUCUGCCGACUUCCCGAUCUCGCUCAGCCAGUCGUUGACGCGCUUAAGCUGCGGGAGCAUCCUCGCGGCGCGGUCGCGGUCCCACGGCGCGGCCGCCGCAACGUCCGCGUCCAGGAACCGCUCCACGAACGCCAGGAACCACGCCCGUGCCUCGUCCCCGAGCCGCCGCGCAAGCUCGCCCCGCUCCUCCGCGCCGCCUCCCCGCUCCCAUUCAGGCGGAGGCACUGCUGCCGCCGCCGCAGCGGCGGCGGCGGCGGCGGCGGCCGCGGAACCAGCUUUCAACCUCCCCUUCGCCGGGGACAGCCGCGACUUCGCGGGCGGCACUGCCUUCGCCGCCGCCGGCUUGGCUGACUCGUCCACGAGCACGACGGCCAGCGGGGAGAUGACACUGGCUGGGGCGGGUUUCAGGUUGUAGAGGGAGAAGGCGGAGAGAUCGGUGGCGAGGCCGGCGCCGACCCAGGAGGCUGCCCGGCGGCGGCGCUCCGCCGCGACAGCCAUGGUUUCCUCGUCGGCUGUUGACGCAUCGCCGGCUGCUGAUUGAUCUGGUGAAGUCGCGGUGGAGACCGUGGUCGUGGCCUUGGUUAGAGACUCGGUGACGAUGGUGGCUCGAGAGAUUGCUCCAUGCAGAGCGAGGAACUGCUCGACAGCCUGCUGUGGGUUCUGCUCCUCCGCCGACGAGCUCACCUCCGCGUACGAGCUGGUCAGAGCAAUACAGCGGUCAGACAAACUCAAAGUGCAUCAACGCUUCUGAUAGCGAAGCGCAUCUAUCGACUGGAGAGUGUUGAAACGGUAGCAGUUUCGGAUGCCUUAAAGGCUUAAACUACAGAUAAAUCUGUAGUGGCAAGACAAUACAGAACGUCAACAGCAACACAGGGGCUCAGCUGGCAAAUACCUUCCCUAGUUUAACGAGUGAUGGAGGAAGCGUUGUCCACGAAGCGCUAGCAUCUGAGCACUCGCUGAGCUCUUCCUGGGUGGAGUCAGAAUCUUACUGUCAUCCUUAUUCGAUGGUUUCUCUUCUGCUAAUGAUUUUCGUCUGGGAGUCUGAACAUGGGAGAAUCAACAAAGGUUAUUUACUAAACAUGCUGCAUGGACAUAAGACAUUAAUAGGGGCACUGAUGAGUUGAAGCAAUACUACAGUCUACAUGUUCCUAACAAGAGACACAUAUGGUCAGGUUCUUGAUCAUAUAUUGAUGAAAACGUUCAGAAUUGAUGUUGUUGAUCCUACAUUGAUGAAAACUUCACAAGUAUUAUAUACCCAUGCUGUAUAUGACAUGGCAUUGUUGACACUUACCGAAGAGCUUCGAUUUUCAGACUUCUUUUCAGCUUUGGCAGGCUUUGAAUCCGAAUUGCCUUUGUCCUUUGCAUCUGCUUUCCCUUCCCAGCUUCUUCUCAAGGCCUUGGGCCCAGAUUCGAAGCUCAACAAGGUGUUACUAAUGGAGUUACCCAGGGAGGACUUCCUCCCUGCCGUAGUGGCCUUCAACACAGACGCAGCCUUUUCUAGCAAGGACAGCCUUGACGGCGGCGAUUUCUCUGCUCCUUUGGUUCUCACUCUCUGUUUCAUGUCACUCGAGAAUUUAUCGAACGACGCAGGCAGAGAAUGGGCGCUGGUCGGGGAAGACGGCGUCGACCUAGCGCUGGUUGAUUUUGCCUUCGAGCUAACCACGUCCUUCUUGUCCGAGAGGAGGCCAUUGAGCGCCUGUUUCGAGAGGUUGGAGUUCGACUUGCGACAGGGCACCGGCAUCCUUGGAACUACCAUUGGUGGAGGAGGCUUGGGCGGCCUUGCCGCUGCCAAGAAGAAAAGUGGAGGAGCUGGUCACCACAAGAUCCUCCGGGCUGCCGACGCAGGCAUGGCGGCCCGGGACCGGCCUGACCCCCCUGAGGAUCGGCACCGGGGUGGCUGCCUCGAGACGGUCGACAUGGACGAACUGCCCCAGCUGGAUGACGUCGCUGAGGAUGAGGUCGUGCUGCUCGUCCGGCAGCGACACGUAGGUGGCGUGCGACGAGUCGGACACCUUGAGGUAGAACCCCUGGUUGGUGAACAGGUCGCUCCCGGCGAGCGCGGGCACGAUGCUGACGACCUGGAGCAGCGACGACCGGUGCUCGCCCGCGACCUUGACGUCGCUGUUCAUGUGCUGCAGGAGCUUGAGGAGGACCCCGGGUACCAGCGACGCCAUCGCUGCAGCUCCUAGCGCCGCAUUUACCUGCGCAGUGUUGAGCCCUGGUUCAGUAACCCCACUCCAAUAUGUAGGCUAAGCAGUGGAGCCUUCUGAGAGAACAAUGAUGUUGUCGGUAGCCAUGGCAAAAGCGGAUCACUCCAAGCUACCUAAUGCAAAUAAAGGCUGCGCGCGCGCGGCUUUACAACCAGAGCAGCAAAUCCAGAUGAGCAUGUCGGUAGCCUUGGCGAGCGAAAUGAGCAACAAGUUCAGCCAACAGCAAAGGCAGAGCACAGUGCCGUAAGGAGGAGGAGGUGAACUAGUAAAGAGGUGUACUAGAAACGGUGGCUACAAUGAGUAAGGACGGCGUUGUUCGUCGCAAGGGCAUUCAAUUGGGUCCGGAAAGGGAUACGGGUACUAGCGCAUGGCCGCCAGUCUCGACUCUAGAGACGAGAAGGUGAUGGGAGUCGAGACGAGAAGACGAUGGGUAAGGAGGAGGAGAAGCAAACACACCUCGUGAUGGACUGCCGAAUCCCGCAAGGCCCGAUCCCUUCCUCCGGCCUCACUUCGGUCUGCUCUUCUUCAGUCUCUUCUUCGUCCUCCUCUCAACGCUCGCCCUGAGUCGGCGGCUGCUGCAGGCGUGCGGCCUACGAUCUUUGAAAAGCGCGGAAGGCUUUCCGCUUCCUGCUCAGGGAGAAGAAGGAGAGGGGGAGGGUCUCUCCUGCUGGCCUUGUCGCAUCCAGGACAGGAAUCCCCGCCGGUUGGCUGCAGGAGGCGGUGACGACUGACGAGAUGAACCAACCAGGAGGCGACGGUGUCCUCCUCUCCUGGACCCUGGUGCGUGCGCGCUGGGAGCCUGGGAGGCGUGGUGCUUCUCUCUCCUCUCCUCUGCGCGUGCUCGCUGUCUCUCUCUAAAAAGCAGAGGAGGGUCGCACGCGAGGCAGGGCAGGCUGCUCCUGCGCCGGCGAGGACAGAUGGCAACUGUGCUGUGGAAAAGCUGCGUGGAAAGGAGCCAAGGAGGUGCGGGCCCCGCCGACCCAGUGUCCGCGGGCGGCCUUGUGUUGCGGUGAGGCGUCGCUUUCGACGGAGGAGGGUAGUAAACUGGAGUGGAGUUCCAAGUAUGGGCAGGUCAGUCGAGGAAGCCCCAAAACCUUCUUUAUUAUUAUUUUAUUAUAAAUUCAGUUGCAAAA